Molecule: long non-coding RNA, 774 nt
Organism: Ictalurus punctatus (channel catfish)
Lineage: Eukaryota; Metazoa; Chordata; Actinopteri; Siluriformes; Ictaluridae
Source: Ensembl
UGAGUUGUUGAUAAGUGUGGUGUUCCGUGUUGUCAAGAGUCUUAUCGUUAGCGGUUAGGAUCAGGGUUAUAGGAGGUCCAACUCUACCCACUGGACAUUUGGUCCCACGGGUUGAGAGGCACUGUGUUAUAUUGUGUUACUAACAAGAAAUUUCACACACUGAAGGCCUGUAUCACCAUUAUCACCACAUGUCGUGUGACAUUUCAGGUCUUGCUGUGAAAAAGAGGACCCCUACUCUCCACUACAGUGCGCACUUAUCAGAGCCCAGCUGUUCUGUCAACUGUGUACUUCCCUUCUGGAUAAUUAGGAACAGCGGGGGGAAACAGCAGGACAUGGGGGUGGAGCAUUCGUGAUUACAGAGGGCAAUAAUUAAGAAGCUCCCGUCAACUGGAAAUGUUAUGAAUCAAUCUGGAAUUGGACAUGUGCCUAUAUCGUCUCAAUGCACUGUGAAGAGGACGGUUUGAAUGGACAAAAAAAUCUUCAAGGAUCACAGCUGGAGAACUGCAGAAGUUAGUUGUGUCUUGGGGUCAGAAAGUCUCCAAAACUACAAUCUGAAGUCACCGACAUCUCCACAAGCUGUUUGGAAGGGUUUCAAGAUAAAAGCCUCUACUCUCAUCCAAAAACAAACUCGAGAGUCUUCAGUUUGCCGACACUACUGGAACUUCAAAUGGGAUCGGGUUCUACGGUCAGAUGAAACCAGAAUAGAGCUUUUUGGUAAUAAACACAGAGGUGGUUUUGACGCACAUUACAGGAACCUUUAUAAAUGGAUUAAAG